Molecule: non-coding RNA, 147 nt
Organism: Rhypophila decipiens
Lineage: Eukaryota; Fungi; Ascomycota; Sordariomycetes; Sordariales; Naviculisporaceae
Source: the annotation of a GenBank genome assembly
GGGCGUGUGGCUCAGUUGGUAGAGCGUUCGCUUAGCAUGGAUUCCUGGGUCACACCACCUUGGUUUACCAGGGUGCUGACCUGGGGUAUGAAGUACUUGCCUCAGCUUGAAUGCGAAAGGUCCUGGGUUCGAUUCCCAGCUCGUCCA